RNAcentral lists this antisense RNA (595 nucleotides) under Lentzea aerocolonigenes. RNAcentral's name for it is "Lechevalieria aerocolonigenes Saccharopolyspora sRNA 389". It matches the Rfam family "Saccharopolyspora sRNA 389". Lineage: Bacteria; Bacillati; Actinomycetota; Actinomycetes; Pseudonocardiales; Pseudonocardiaceae. The record is from Rfam by way of RNAcentral.
ACCAACCUCGUGGUGGCGCGGUGCAGAAAGUCCUGGCGCGAGUUGCGGACCUUUCGAUGGGCGCGCGCGACCUUCGCCUUCGCCUUGCGGCGAUUGCUGCCGCCACGCAGGCAACGGGCCAGUCUGCGCUGGUAACGCGCAAGGUUUCGAGCUCUGCGGGCGACGCGCUGCGGGUUGGCGAGCCGCUCGCCGUCACUGGUGACCAGGAAGUCCUUCAGACCGAGAUCCACUCCAAUCGCAUGCCCAGUGGAUUCAGCACGAACAUCCUGAUCAGCAUCAACAGCAAACGUCACAAACCAACGACCGUCCUGCUCGCGAGACACAACUACCAUCGUCGGGUUGAGCGCGGCUACGUUCACCUCGCCGAACGACCACACGAACCGCAGUGCAGCGCUCAUCUUCGCCACUGUGAGCACACCGUCACGCAUCCGGAACGCCGACCGCGUGUAGUGAGCACUCUGCCGACCGGCACGGGACUUGAACCUGGGAUGGCGAGUUCGCCCGGCGAAGAAGUUCUGGAACGCCGCGUGCUGAUGGCGCAGUGCCUGCUGCAACGGCACGCACGACACUUCCGACAGGAACGCGAGCUCCUCGG